CCUACGGGUGGCAGCAGUGAGGAAUAUUGGUCAAUGGACGAGAGUCUGAACCAGCCAAGUAGCGUGAAGGAUGACUGCCCUAUGGGUUGUAAACUUCUUUUAUAUGGAAAUAAAAUGUUCCACGUGUGGGAUUUUGUAUGUACCAUUUGAUUAAGGAUCGGCUAACUCCGUGCCAGCAGCCGCGGUUAUACGGAGGCUCCGAGCGUUAUCCGGAUUUCUUGGGUUUAAAGGGCGCGUAGGUGGAUUGUUAAGUCAGUUGUGAAAGUUUGCGGCUCAAACGUAAAAUUGCAGUUGAAACUGGCAGUCUUGAGUACAGUAGAGGUGGGCGGAAUUCGUGGUGUAGCGGUGAAAUGCUUAGAUAUCACGAAGAACUCCGAUUGCGAAGGGAGCUCACUGGACUGCAACUGACACUGAGGCUCGAAAGUGUGGGGAUCAAACAGGAUUAGAUAUCCUGGUAGUC
Molecule: ribosomal RNA, 460 nt
Filed under: uncultured bacterium
Lineage: Bacteria
Description: partial 16S ribosomal RNA
Rfam family: Bacterial small subunit ribosomal RNA
Source: RNAcentral